GGGUGUGAGGGCGAUCUGGCUGCCACAUCUGCCACCCCAUUGAUCGCCAGGGUUGACUCGGCUGAUCUGGCUGGCUAGGCAGGUGUCCCCUUCCUCCCCGACAGUUCCAUGUGCGUCCCUCCUGAAGCUGCAUGCUCGGUCGAAGGGGACGGCCUUCCCCAAAUAGAGACGGAUUGGUCUUCGGUUGAGGGUCUACGAGUAGCUGUGCUCCCUUGCUACAACCUCCGAACAAACUCCCAAGGUUGUACACAUGACACCCAAUGGGCUGGCAGCUGAGUCAGAACAGGGGGCUGCUCCCAUCCCCUCGAAAGCCAGGGCCACUCACUGGGGGUCAGG
This is a non-coding RNA of Erinaceus europaeus (western European hedgehog), 336 nucleotides long. The record is from Rfam. Lineage: Eukaryota; Metazoa; Chordata; Mammalia; Eulipotyphla; Erinaceidae.